Tetrahymena thermophila SB210 is the source of this 134-nucleotide small nucleolar RNA. It matches the Rfam family "Tetrahymena snoRNA TtnuHACA28". The record is from Rfam. Lineage: Eukaryota; Ciliophora; Oligohymenophorea; Hymenostomatida; Tetrahymenidae.
AACUUAUGACAUGCCAUGAAGGUCUUGUACUUAAUGAUACAUUCCUUCGCCAGCUCAUAAUAAGAAAAAACAGAAGGAUCUCUAUAGGAAGCAAAUCGGAAAACAAUGAUGAGUUUGCGCCAAAUGAAAUCUAC